This 522-nucleotide long non-coding RNA is filed under the name Piliocolobus tephrosceles (Ugandan red Colobus). RNAcentral describes it as "lncRNA (ENSPTEG00000031572.1)". The record is from RNAcentral. Lineage: Eukaryota; Metazoa; Chordata; Mammalia; Primates; Cercopithecidae.
GCGCGCUCCCCCCUAGGGUUCCGGAUGGUGAGCGGCGAAGGUAAGGCGAGCUCGCAGAGGCAUCGGCGGCGGCGGCGGAGACGGAGAGAGGCAGGCAGGCAGGGCGAGGGCGAGAGACGGAGGGAGGGAGCGAGCGAGGCGGACCAGACAGACAGACAGGCGGGCGGGCGGGCAGAGCGAGCCACCCGCCAGGCUGCGCUCAGCCCCGCUCGCAGCGGAGAGAGCAGAAGGCAGGAGGAGGGAGGGGAGGAGGAGGAGGGAGGGAGAGAGGGAAUCCAGCUACCACCACCCAAAGCCAGCGUCUGCUUUCUGUCCUCAUUUCCUUUUCCCACCCAGCUUGGAGAGCAGAGAAAGGCAGAGAGAGCGAGAAAUAGAGACAGUCUGAGAGACAGACAGACAGCCAGAGAGAGCGGGAGGGAGGAGGGCGGAGGAGGAGGAGCAGGAGGACUACGCGGGGCGCGUUCCCUCCCAGCAGCCGGGCGCCCGCGUCGCUGCCACCGCCGGAAGACAGACGCCCCCUAA